UGAAUUUUUUUUAAUUUAUAUUGAGAAAAAAGAUAAAAUAUGAAGUUUUGAAAGUGGAGUAUUUAAAGGUGGCAAUGGCAGUGUAUAAGUUAUUGAGGCCAAGAAUAAAAGUGAGGUAAUAUUUUGUGAGUUAUAUACAUAUAAACUUGGAUCUUUGUUGAGAUAUAAAUAAGAUGCUUGUUUUCCUUUGCUAUAUGGAGAAAAAUAAUGUGUUUUCUUUGCAGAAGAACUUGUCCAAGAUCAAUAAUAUUUCAGUUUUCUCAAUGAUUCAUGCAUGCCUCAGGCUACAUAUAAAGAGAAGAUCCUUUUGAAGUGUAUUUGCAUAGUAGAUAUCUUCUAGAGUCAUGUAUCAUGCAAGAAUCUUCUAUGAUCAAGAGUUGUUCAUCGGGUGUAAUAUUCCCUCGUCUAACAUCGGGUCGAAGAUAAUUUAGCCAACGAAGUCUGCAACUCUUUCCGAUUUUGCCAAGGAGUUCCAAACACCUUCACCAUGAUUUGCAAUAUAGUUGAUCAAGAUCAAGUCUUCUUCCAUUGUCCAUGGUCCUUUUCGAACAUCAGGAUCUUGAGAAGAACUGCACUCCUUUUUGUCCAUUAU
Molecule: long non-coding RNA, 592 nt
Organism: Lathyrus oleraceus (garden pea)
Lineage: Eukaryota; Viridiplantae; Streptophyta; Magnoliopsida; Fabales; Fabaceae
Exons: 4
Source: RefSeq, a predicted model, not a curated record